AAACUGCGAAUGGCUCAUUAAAUCAUUUAUCGUUUAUUUGAUGAUCUCUUGUUGCAUGGAUAACCGUAUUAAUUCUAGAGCUAAUACAUGCGUGAAGCCCCGACUCACGAAGGGGUGUAUUUAUUAGAUUCAAAACCAACCGUGUAAAAGCGUUCCUUGGUGAUUCAUGAUAACUUGUCGAACCGCACGCCCUUGAGGCAGCGGUGAUUCAUUCAAAUUUCUGCCCUAUCAA
RNAcentral lists this ribosomal RNA (232 nucleotides) under uncultured eukaryote. RNAcentral describes it as "partial 18S ribosomal RNA". It matches the Rfam family "Eukaryotic small subunit ribosomal RNA", at positions 84 to 318 of the family's 1831-position model. The record is from RNAcentral.